UCUUGCCCAGAUUGUAUGUUAC
RNAcentral lists this non-coding RNA (22 nucleotides) under Arabidopsis thaliana (thale cress). Lineage: Eukaryota; Viridiplantae; Streptophyta; Magnoliopsida; Brassicales; Brassicaceae. The record is from RNAcentral.